RNAcentral lists this long non-coding RNA (1594 nucleotides) under Gadus morhua (Atlantic cod). Its description in RNAcentral is "lncRNA (ENSGMOG00000032580.1)". Lineage: Eukaryota; Metazoa; Chordata; Actinopteri; Gadiformes; Gadidae. The record is from RNAcentral.
ACCUGGAUCUAGUCAUGCAAUUGGCGUGUCGGCACCAUUUACGGUUUGGGCUGUGGGCCCACUUUUAGCGCGGGAAGUAUAAUAAUAAUAAUAAAAAUCCUUACAAAAACAAUAGGGAUCCAACCUGUUGGCUUGGACCCCUAACUAGAACUGCAAGCAGUUAUGCAGGGGUCCAAGAAGUGUGCAUUUCGCCGGCACAACGCGACAAGAAAUGUGCGUUUCGCCGGCACAAUGCGAAGCAUGUGUUCAAAACGCUACCCUGAACCUGUGGAUAUAAAGGUUAUGACUGUGGGAGCUUCGGUGUGGGAGUUAUAACCUAAAACGCGUUUUCAGAACGUUGGCCAAAUAGGACAUAGACAAUGUCGUCGUUUUUUGGCGCCGCCCUGUGGCGAAAUUUUCCAAGGACAAUUUUCCUUUGCCAAAUAACUCCCGCCCACAUUAAUAAUUCUUGGCCAUAUUUUCUAUAUAGACUCGGGUUUGCCCCUUGAUGGUUUCCCUUGAGUUUGAAGAACAUUCCUUUGGCCAAUUAGAAGAUAUACAAUUUCCUCGUUUAUUGCGCCCCCUAAUGGCGAAAUUUUCGAUUUCUAGAUGUCAUGGCAACGUCCGCUCGCGACACUGGACUUGCGAUCGAGGCAUCCAUGCGGACGUUCAUUCACAUAGCCAAAAACAAGAGAAUAGAUGGCUAGAUAAAAUAAACAUCAAGACAUACAAUUCUAAAAAGAACAGAUGAAGCAGCUACCCUUUUUUCCUUCGCGGUUUGCCUACAGAGCAGCGCACCUGCAUUUAAUAUAUCCGUGUAUUGUCGCAAUUUCUCAGUAUCAAAGGUGAAAGUAGAAACGGGUGGCCAAAGCUGUCAUAUUGUUAGUUAUCACAGACAAUUUUAAGUAGAACCGGGUGGCCAAAAGCUGUAAUUUGUUAGUUAUCACAGACAAUUUUCAACGAUGAAUGAUCUGUACGGAGCUCCAUAAGGGACAUUAGGGAGAACGCUCCCGGACAGAACCUUAGUUUGGAAGUCGUGCUUAGUGACACGAAAAAAAAUACUACUUCCAAUUGAAAUACAAAAUUUAGAAAAUAGGCCUACGUGUCCCUGAUCACGUUUCAAUAGAUUAAAUAACGUGACAGUGUCACGUAUUUUCGUGAGACCAGGUUCGAGCGUGUGCAUGGGUUGAAUUGCGUGUGUCUCACGCCGAAUGCAUGAGACAUGAGAGCCCUGUACUUACGUGACACAAACCAGCACCGCAAACAUUCUCUCCCACUUGAGAUGACGUCUUUCUUUAUAGGUUCAUGGGUCUGAUGCGCCGAUUUCCCAUGCUGAUAUCCCCGGAGAUUCUCGGGCAUCUUCGACAAUUUGGCUAUAGAUUGUCUCAUUACACGCUAAAUAAUAUAAUUAUAGCCUAAUUAUAUAUAUAGCCUAUAUAUAUAUAUAGGCAAUAUAUAUAAUUAGGCAAUAUAUAUAUAUAUAUAGCAUUUGUGGUUUUGGCAUAAACAUAACUAGGGUGCACUGUACUAUCUGCGCCCACCCUUUCUGAAGCCUCUCGCUCUCUCUCUCUCUCUCUGUCCCUCCCUCUCUCUCUUUCUCUCUCUCUCGUACCGU